AGAGUUUGAUCCUGGCUCAGAACGAACGCUGGCGGCGCGUUUUAAGCAUGCAAGUCGAACGAGAAAGUAUCCUUCGGGGUGCAAGUACAGUGGCGAACGGGUGAGUAACACGUAGUCAACCUACCCUAUAGUGGGGAAUAACUUCAAGAAAUUGGAGCUAAUACCGCAUAAUCUCUUUCUACAUAAGUAAUGAAGAGGAAAGAUUUAUCGCUAAAGGAAGGGACUGCGUUCCAUUAGCUUGAUGGUAAGGUAAUAGCUUACCAUGGCGACGAUGGAUAGCCGGCCUGAGAGGGUGACCGGCCACAUUGGGACUGCGACACGGCCCAGACUCCUACGGGAGGCAGCAGCUAAGAAUCUUCCCCAAUGGACGCAAGUCUGAGGGAGCGACGCCGCGUGGAUGAUGAAGGUCGUUAAGAUUGUAAAAUCCUUUUCUGCAAGAAGAAAGUAUAUGUAACAUUAUGCUGACGGUAUUGUAGGAAUAAGCUCCGGCUAAUUACGUGCCAGCAGCCGCGGUAAUACGUAGGGAGCGAGCGUUGUUCGGAAUCAUUGGGCGUAAAGGGUGCGUAGGCGAGAUGUUAAGUUGGAUGUGCAAUUUCAGGGCUCAACUUUGAACUUGCAUCCAAAACUGGCAACUUUGAGAUAGGCAGAGGUAAGCGGAAUUUCUGGUGUAGGAGUGAAAUCUAUAGAUAUCAGAAAGAACACCGGCGGCGAAGGCGGCUUACUGGGCUGUAUCUGACGCUGAAGCACGAAAGCUAGGGGAGCGAACGGGAUUAGAUACCCCGGUAGUCCUAGCCGUAAACGUUGUAUACUAGGUGUAUGAGGAUCGAUCCCUCAUAUGCCAGAGCUAACGCAUUAAGUAUACCGCCUGGGGAGUACGGUCGCAAGACUGAAACUCAAAGGAAUUGACGGGGGCCCGCACAAGCGGUGGAGCAUGUGGUUUAAUUCGAUUAUACGCGAGAAACCUUACCAGGGCUUGACAUGUAUUUGACGACGUAAGAGAUUGCGUCUCCCUUUGGGCAAAUAUACAGGUGCUGCAUGGUUGUCGUCAGCUCGUGUCGUGAGAUGUUGGGUUAAGUCCCGCAACGAGCGCAACCCCUAUUCACUGUUGCUAACAGGUCGUGCUGAGCACUCGGUGGAGACUGACUGUGAAAGCAGAAGGAAGGUGGGGAUGACGUCAAAUCCUCAUGGCCCUUAUGUCCUGGGCUACACACGUGCUACAAUGGCCGGUACAAUGAGUUGCUAAACUGCGAGGUCAAGCUAAUCUCAAAAAACCGGUCUCAUUUCGGAUUGAAGUCUGAAACUCGACUUCAUGAAGCUGGAAUCGCUAGUAAUCGUAUAUCAGCAUGAUACGGUGAAUACGUUCCCGGGCCUUGUACACACCGCCCGUCACACCAUCCGAGUUGGUUGUACCCCAAGAUGCCAAGCUAACUAGCAAUAGAGGCAGGUAUCAAAGGUAAAGCUAGCGAGGAGGGUGAAGUCGUAACAAGGUA
This 1490-nucleotide ribosomal RNA is filed under the name metagenome. Its description in RNAcentral is "bacterial SSU rRNA". It matches the Rfam family "Bacterial small subunit ribosomal RNA". The record is from RNAcentral.